UGGGGAAUAUUGCACAAUGGGCGCAAGCCUGAUGCAGCCAUGCCGCGUGUAUGAAGAAGGCCUUCGGGUUGUAAAGUACUUUCAGCGGGGAGGAAGGGAGUAAAGUUAAUACCUUUACUCAUCGACGUUACCCGCAGAAGAAGCACCGGCUAACUCCGUGCCAGCAGCCGCGGUAAUACGGAGGGUGCAAGCAUUAAUCGGAAUUACUGGGCGUAAAGCGCACGCAGGCGGUUUGUUAAGUCAGAUGUGAAAUCCCCGGGCUCAACCUGGGAACUGCAUCUGAUACUGGCAAGCUUGAGUCUCGUAGAGGGGGGUAGAAUUCCAGGUGUAGCGGUGAAAUGCGUAGAGAUCUGGAGGAAUACCGGUGGCGAAGGCGGCCCCCUGGACGAAGACUGACGCUCAGGUGCGAAAGCGUGGGGAGCAAACAGG
This 429-nucleotide ribosomal RNA is filed under the name Chloroflexota bacterium. RNAcentral's name for it is "Chloroflexi bacterium partial 16S ribosomal RNA". It matches the Rfam family "Bacterial small subunit ribosomal RNA", at positions 355 to 776 of the family's 1533-position model. The record is from RNAcentral. Lineage: Bacteria; Bacillati; Chloroflexota.